CGAUCGAGGUAAAUUUCAUACCCCCGACUCGUUUUUCCACGCUAAUUUUCCCAGUGGCCAAAUCGGAGCCAAAAUCCCGGCCAAACGGCCGAAAGCCAGCGGCGCCGCCGCGCCCCUUCUCGGUUUUUGCCUCCGAUGAGGCCCUUCCCGGCCUCCGUUUAAUGCAAUUUUUAUAUCACCGUGAUCACCAUUCUUUUCUCUACAGAUUGAUCGGAGGCGAAUCACCAAAACACGAACUUCACCGGAGAGCCGCCGCACCCGAGAGCACCGCCGCCUGUAAGCUUCGAUUUUCCGUAAAUUUUCGGCCCCCUGAGGGCCGUUGGGU
This 325-nucleotide long non-coding RNA is filed under the name Carica papaya (papaya). RNAcentral describes it as "long non-coding RNA (CPAP_LNC000046)". Lineage: Eukaryota; Viridiplantae; Streptophyta; Magnoliopsida; Brassicales; Caricaceae. The record is from RNAcentral.